Long non-coding RNA from Bombus impatiens (common eastern bumble bee), 703 nucleotides. RefSeq lists it as uncharacterized. The record is from RefSeq and is a predicted model, not a curated record. NCBI's taxonomy places the organism in Eukaryota, Metazoa, Arthropoda, Insecta, Hymenoptera, Apidae. The transcript is spliced from 2 exons.
UCAAAAAAGAUUUCUAUAAGUAAUCCAUGAAAGAGAUACACUAUAAAGUAAAUUUUAAAUCGUAAAUGUAAAAUUGCUCGAAUCUAUCUUUGCAAAUUCUAACACAUCGUCCAACAUUUGUGAAGAUGAUCCCGUGUUUAUUGUUUAACAUUCAAAUCGUAAACUGUGUAUACAGAAAAUGACGUCAACGCUAUGUCAUGUAGCUGCACCCAGCUAAUACCGAGGAAACCGUAAUGACCAAGCUACCAUAUGAUAGAGCUGAUAUAGGUCAAAGCUGAUCAUACAAAUGAGUUGCGUACAGAAGGAAGUUCCGAUUCAAUCGAAAAGAGAGUUUGAUACGCAAAAUUGUUCAUCCUCAAGCAUCUUCUAAUAUUAUCCCAUGAACGCUCGUUUCUACGUUUUACAACGAAUAAAUAUUACCCUUCUAAACGUGUAAAUUAUUGGAACCGAGAGUACGAUUUUCAACGACGAUCCGAUAAUAUUAUCUUAAUAGCGAUAAAAUAUAACAAUGAUUUCUCUGAAACGACUGAUAAUCGUUAUGAAAUAGAUGUUCGUCCAGGACAUAAACGUUUCCACCAACAUAUUUUUCAGAGUUAUUUGUUUAAAUUUGGCAGUCUGCCAUUGAAAUAAUUAUAGAUCGGCCCGUUCUCUUUACAGAAAUGCAAUAACCUUUUUGCUACCUAGUUACAUAUUCUUGAAAGUA